This 459-nucleotide ribosomal RNA is filed under the name uncultured bacterium. Its description in RNAcentral is "partial 16S ribosomal RNA". It matches the Rfam family "Bacterial small subunit ribosomal RNA", at positions 338 to 795 of the family's 1533-position model. The record is from RNAcentral.
CCUACGGGUGACAGCAGUGAGGAAUAUUGGUCAAUGGCCGGAAGGCUGAACCAGCCAAGCCGCGUGAAGGACGAAGGUGCCAAGCAUUGUAAACUUCUUUUGUCAAGGGACAAAAUCAGGCUCGAGAGCCUGACCGAGGGUACUUGAAGAAAAAGCAUCGGCUAACUCCGUGCCAGCAGCCGCGGUAAUACGGAGGAUGCGAGCGUUAUCCGGAUUUAUGGGGUUUAAAGGGUGCGUAGGCGGGCUGUUAAGUCAGCGGUAAAAGCCCGGGGUUAAACCCCGGCGAGCCGUUGAAGCUGGCUGUCUUGAGAUGUCGAACGGUAUGCGGAAUGCGCAGUGUAGCGGUGAAAUGCUUAGAUAUUGCGCAGAACUCCGAUUGCGAAGGCAGCAUACCGGCGGCGAUCUGACGCUGAGGCACGAAAGCGUGGGUAUCGAACAGGAUUAGAUACCCUAGUAGUC